AGUGAACGCUGGCGGUAGGCCUAACACAUGCAAGUCGAACGGCAGCACAGUAAGAGCUUGCUCUUACGGGUGGCGAGUGGCGGACGGGUGAGGAAUACAUCGGAAUCUACUUUUUCGUGGGGGAUAACGUAGGGACACUUAUGCUAAUACCGCAUACGACCUACGGGUGAAAGCAGGGGUUAUUCGGACCUUUCGCGACUGAUUUAGCCGCUGUCGGAUUAGUUAGUUGGCGGGGUAAAGGACCACCAAGGCAACGCUCCGUAGCUGGUCUGAGGGGAUGGUCGCCAACACUGAACCGAGACACCGGUCAGAAUCCUAAGGGAGGGCGCAGGAGGGAAUUUUUGGCAAUGGGGGGAAGCCUGAAGCAGGCAAGCCGGGUGAGGGAAGAAGGGCCUCCGGUUGUUAAACCCUUUUUGUUGGGAAGAAAAAACGUGAGAUUAAUACCCCGCGGUUCGACGGUACCCAAAAAAAAAGCCACGGCUAACUUCGUG
Molecule: ribosomal RNA, 491 nt
Filed under: uncultured bacterium
Lineage: Bacteria
Description: partial 16S ribosomal RNA
Rfam family: Bacterial small subunit ribosomal RNA
Source: RNAcentral